CGAAAGCCUGACGCAGCGACGCCGCGUGGAGGAUGAAGGUCUUCGGAUUGUAAACUCCUGUCAGAGGUGAAGAAAGCCCUUAUGGGUCUGACGGUAACCUCAGAGGAAGCCCCGGCUAACUACGUGCCAGCAGCCGCGGUAAUACGUAGGGGGCAAACGUUGCUCGGAAUUACUGGGCGUAGAGGGUGCGCAGGUGGCUGAGAAAGUCGUUGAUGAAAUCCCGGGGCUUACCCCCGGAACUGUCUUCGAUACUUCUCAGCUUGAGGAUAGUCGAGGAGAACGGAAUUCCCGGUGGGGCGGUGAAAUGCGUAGAGAUUGGGAAGAACACCGGUGGCGAAAGCGCUCUACUGGGUCGCACCUGACCCUCAGGGACGAAAGCUAAGGUAGCG
Molecule: ribosomal RNA, 389 nt
Filed under: uncultured cyanobacterium
Lineage: Bacteria; Bacillati; Cyanobacteriota
Description: bacterial SSU rRNA
Rfam family: Bacterial small subunit ribosomal RNA
Source: RNAcentral